AUUGAACGCUGGCGGCAUGCCUUACACAUGCAAGUCGAACGGUAACAGGUCUUCGGAUGCUGACGAGUGGCGAACGGGUGAGUAAUACAUCGGAACGUGCCCGAUCGUGGGGGAUAACGAGGCGAAAGCUUUGCUAAUACCGCAUACGAUCUACGGAUGAAAGCGGGGGAUCUUCGGACCUCGCGCGGACGGAGCGGCCGAUGGCAGAUUAGGUAGUUGGUGGGAUAAAAGCUUACCAAGCCGACGAUCUGUAGCUGGUCUGAGAGGAUGAUCAGCCACACUGGGGCUGGGGCACGGCCCAGAGUCCUGCGGGAGGCAGCAGUGGGGAGUGGUGGGCGAUGGGCGGAGGGGUGGUGGAGCGGUGCCGCGUGGGGGGUGAAGGCCUUGGGGUUGUGGGGUGGUUGUGUGGGGGGGGAGGGGCCUCUUGCUGAUAGAGGGGGGUCAUGACGGUACCGUAAGAAUAAGCACCGGCUAACUACGUG
RNAcentral lists this ribosomal RNA (482 nucleotides) under uncultured bacterium. RNAcentral describes it as "partial 16S ribosomal RNA". It matches the Rfam family "Bacterial small subunit ribosomal RNA", at positions 28 to 507 of the family's 1533-position model. The record is from RNAcentral.